RNAcentral lists this ribosomal RNA (468 nucleotides) under uncultured bacterium. RNAcentral describes it as "partial 16S ribosomal RNA". It matches the Rfam family "Bacterial small subunit ribosomal RNA", at positions 28 to 507 of the family's 1533-position model. The record is from RNAcentral.
GACGAACGCUGGCGGCGUGCUUAACACAUGCAAGUCGAACGGACAGGCCCUGCUCUUGUGGUUUUCUCGAGUGGCGAACGGGUGUGUAUCACGUGUGUAACCCCCCCUUGACUUUGUGGUAACACCAGGAAACUGGGGCUAUUAUCCGAUAGGAGCUUCUGCUGCACGGUGGUGGUUAGUAAGAUUCGGCGGUUGGGGAUGGACUCGCGGCUUAUGAGCUUGUUGGUGGGGUAGUGGCUUUCAAGGGCUUUGAAGGGUAGCCGGCCUGAGAGGGUGACCGGGCACAUUAGGACUGAGGUACGGCCCAGACUCGAACGGGAGGCAGCGGGGGAAAGUAUGACACAGCAAGCGGAAGUAUGAUGUAACGACGUCGCGUGCGGGAUGACGGGCUUCGGGUGGUAAACCGCUUUCGAAGGUGAUGUAGAGUGAGUGACGGUAACUGGUAAAGAAGCAACGGCUAACUACGUG